AUUGAACGCUGGCGGAAUGCUUUACACAUGCAAGUCGAACGGUAGAGGGGGCAACCCCUCGAGAGUGGCGAACGGGUGAGUAAUAUAUCGGAACGUGCCCAGUCGUGGGGGAUAAAGUAGCGAAAGUUACGCUAAUACCGCAUACGAUCUACGGAUGAAAGCGGGGGACCGGAAGGCCUCGCGCGAUUGGAGCGGCCGAUGUCAGAUUAGGUAGUUGGUGAGGUAAAGGCUAACCAAGCCGACGAUCUGUAGCUGGUCUGAGAGGACGACCAGCCACACUGGGACUGAGACACGGCCCAGACUCCUACGGGAGGCAGCAGUGGGGAAUUUUGGACAAUGGGCGCAAGCCUGAUCCAGCCAUUCCGCGUGCAGGACGAAGGCCUUCGGGUUGUAAACUGCUUUUGUACGGAACGAAAAGGCUCUGGUUAAUACCUGGGGCUCAUGACGGUACCGUAAGAAUAAGCACCGGCUAACUACGUGCCAGCCGCCGCAGUAA
RNAcentral lists this ribosomal RNA (496 nucleotides) under uncultured bacterium. RNAcentral describes it as "partial 16S ribosomal RNA". It matches the Rfam family "Bacterial small subunit ribosomal RNA", at positions 30 to 523 of the family's 1533-position model. The record is from RNAcentral.